AUUCAGCUGACGAGUCCCAAAUAGGAUGAACCUGGCAUCCUGGAU
Molecule: non-coding RNA, 45 nt
Filed under: Schistosoma curassoni
Lineage: Eukaryota; Metazoa; Platyhelminthes; Trematoda; Strigeidida; Schistosomatidae
Source: RNAcentral